GGGCCCGUGGCUCAGCCUGGCAGAGCGAUAAUAUGUAGCGUCAAGAGCGCCCGGCUGAUAACCGGGAGGUCCCGGGUUCAAGUCCCGGCGGGCCCA
RNAcentral lists this transfer RNA (96 nucleotides) under marine sediment metagenome. It matches the Rfam family "tRNA". Rfam says of the family: Transfer RNA (tRNA) molecules are approximately 80 nucleotides in length. Their secondary structure includes four short double-helical elements and three loops (D, anti-codon, and T loops). Further hydrogen bonds mediate the characteristic L-shaped molecular structure. tRNAs have two regions of fundamental functional importance: the anti-codon, which is responsible for specific mRNA codon recognition, and the 3' end, to which the tRNAs corresponding amino acid is attached (by aminoacyl-tRNA synthetases). tRNAs cope with the degeneracy of the genetic code in two manners: having more than one tRNA (with a specific anti-codon) for a particular amino acid; and 'wobble' base-pairing, i.e. permitting non-standard base-pairing at the 3rd anti-codon position. The record is from RNAcentral.